CGAGUCUGUACAGCGGGGAGGGGAUUGAUAUGGGUGAUGAUCACUUAAACUGAAUCCCCCAGCGAGAAAUCUCUGGAUCAGUGCCAGUUGUGAUCUCUCCUGGUCUGAGUAAGCAUCCACAAGCAUGGGUAGUGAGUUAAAAGUCUCCCAUGCCCAUUGUUCUGAUUCUUGGACGGACUGUGUAACAAAAUCUUCAGAAUUGUUUUCAUCCCAAAAAGCACAUUGACAGGUCUGUUGCCCAUCCCUGUAUUCGGCACCACAAGAAUAACAGAACUCAUGCCCACACCAGCAGGUCAUGUGAUAACAACCUUGCGGCAUUGUUGGCACCGCCUCCACCUUUUAUUUUGUGCCAGACAAUGCAAGGCAAUGUCUGCAGUAUCUCUUUCUUCCAAUGGCAGGUUCUGAAACUCUUCACAGCUCAUCAAAGAAUGCCAAGGAACACCACA
This 446-nucleotide unclassified non-coding RNA is filed under the name Hevea brasiliensis (rubber tree). Lineage: Eukaryota; Viridiplantae; Streptophyta; Magnoliopsida; Malpighiales; Euphorbiaceae. The record is from RNAcentral.